UACAGAGGGUGCAAGCGUUAAUCGGAAUUACUGGGCGUAAAGGGUGUGUAGGUGGUUGUAUAAGUUAGAUGUGAAAUCCCCGGGCUCAACCUGGGAACUGCGUUUAAGACUGUAUAACUAGAGUACUGUAGAGGAUAGUGGAAUUUCCAGUGUAGCGGUGAAAUGCGUAGAUAUUGGAAGGAACACCAGUGGCGAAGGCGACUAUCUGGACAGAUACUGACACUGAGACACGAAAGCGUGGGGAGCAAACAGG
This 253-nucleotide ribosomal RNA is filed under the name uncultured bacterium. RNAcentral describes it as "partial 16S ribosomal RNA". It matches the Rfam family "Bacterial small subunit ribosomal RNA", at positions 524 to 776 of the family's 1533-position model. The record is from RNAcentral.